Molecule: ribosomal RNA, 485 nt
Filed under: uncultured bacterium
Lineage: Bacteria
Description: bacterial SSU rRNA
Rfam family: Bacterial small subunit ribosomal RNA
Source: RNAcentral
GACGAACGCUGGCGGCGUGCUUAACACAUGCAAGUCAGGGGGUGGGGUAACCCAUCACCGGCGAACGGGUGCGUAACACGUGAGCGACCUGCCCUGGAGUGGGGGAUAGCCGGCCCAACGGCCGGGUAAUACCGCAUACGACGUUUUGGGGGCAUCCCUGGGACGUGAAACCCGCAAGGGACUCGAGGAGGGGCUCGCGGCCUAUCAGCUAGUUGGCGAGGUAACGGCUCACCAAGGCGAUGACGGGUAGCUGGCUGAGAGGAUGGCCAGCCACAUUGGGACUGAGAGACGGCCCAGACUCCUACGGGAGGCAGCAGUGGGGAAUCUUGCGCAAUGGCCGAAAGGCUGACGCAGCGACGCCGCGUGAGGGAUGAAGGUCUUCGGAUCGUAAACCUCUGUUGCCCGGGACGAACUCCCAUUUUGGUGGGAAUGACGGUACCGGGUGAGGAAGCACCGGCUAACUCCGUGCCAGCCGCCGCAGUAAG